This 1035-nucleotide ribosomal RNA is filed under the name Alteromonas sp. RNAcentral describes it as "bacterial SSU rRNA". It matches the Rfam family "Bacterial small subunit ribosomal RNA", at positions 54 to 1086 of the family's 1533-position model. The record is from RNAcentral. Lineage: Bacteria; Pseudomonadati; Pseudomonadota; Gammaproteobacteria; Alteromonadales; Alteromonadaceae.
CAUGCAAGUCGAACGGUAACAUUUCUAGCUUGCUAGAAGAUGACGAGUGGCGGACGGGUGAGUAAUGCUUGGGAACUUGCCUUUGCGAGGGGGAUAACAGUUGGAAACGACUGCUAAUACCGCAUAAUGUCUUCGGACCAAACGGGGCUUCGGCUCCGGCGCAAAGAGAGGCCCAAGUGAGAUUAGCUAGUUGGUAAGGUAACGGCUUACCAAGGCGACGAUCUCUAGCUGUUCUGAGAGGAAGAUCAGCCACACUGGGACUGAGACACGGCCCAGACUCCUACGGGAGGCAGCAGUGGGGAAUAUUGCACAAUGGGGGAAACCCUGAUGCAGCCAUGCCGCGUGUGUGAAGAAGGCCUUCGGGUUGUAAAGCACUUUCAGUUGUGAGGAAAAGUUAGUAGUUAAUACCUGCUAGCCGUGACGUUAACAACAGAAGAAGCACCGGCUAACUCCGUGCCAGCAGCCGCGGUAAUACGGAGGGUGCGAGCGUUAAUCGGAAUUACUGGGCGUAAAGCGCACGCAGGCGGUUUGUUAAGCUAGAUGUGAAAGCCCCGGGCUCAACCUGGGAUGGUCAUUUAGAACUGGCAGACUAGAGUCUUGGAGAGGGGAGUGGAAUUCCAGGUGUAGCGGUGAAAUGCGUAGAUAUCUGGAGGAACAUCAGUGGCGAAGGCGACUCCCUGGCCAAAGACUGACGCUCAUGUGCGAAAGUGUGGGUAGCGAACAGGAUUAGAUACCCUGGUAGUCCACACCGUAAACGCUGUCUACUAGCUGUGUGUGUCUUUAAGACGUGCGUAGCGAAGCUAACGCGCUAAGUAGACCGCCUGGGGAGUACGGCCGCAAGGUUAAAACUCAAAUGAAUUGACGGGGGCCCGCACAAGCGGUGGAGCAUGUGGUUUAAUUCGAUGCAACGCGAAGAACCUUACCUACACUUGACAUGCAGAGAACUUUCUAGAGAUAGAUUGGUGCCUUCGGGAACUCUGACACAGGUGCUGCAUGGCUGUCGUCAGCUCGUGUCGUGGAAUGUUGGGUUAAUUC